This 433-nucleotide ribosomal RNA is filed under the name uncultured bacterium. RNAcentral describes it as "partial 16S ribosomal RNA". It matches the Rfam family "Bacterial small subunit ribosomal RNA", at positions 29 to 507 of the family's 1533-position model. The record is from RNAcentral.
AACGAACGCUGGCGGCAUGCCUAACACAUGCAAGUCGAACGAGACCUUCGGGUCUAGUGGCGCACGGGUGCGUAACGCGUGGGAACCUGCCCUUGGGUUCGGAAUAACUCCCCGAAAGGGGUACUAAUACCGGAUAAUGUCUUCGGCCCAAAGAUUUAUCGCCUUUGGAUGGGCCCGCGUUGGAUUCGGUAGUUGGUAGGGUAAAAGCCUACCAAGGCGACGAUCCAUAGCUGGUCUGAGAGGAUGAUCAGCCACACUGGGACUGAGACACGGCCCAGACUCCUACGGGAGGCAGCAGUGGGGAAUAUUGGACAAUGGGCGAAAGCCUGAUCCAGCAAUGCCGCGUGAGUGAUGAAGGCCUUAGGGUUGUAAAGCUCUUUUACCCGGGAUGAUAAUGACAGUACCGGGAGAAUAAGCUCCGGCUAACUCCGUG